UGGGGAAUAUUGCACAAUGGGCGCAAGCCUGAUGCAGCCAUGCCGCGUGUGUGAAGAAGGCCUUCGGGUUGUAAAGCACUUUCAGCGAGGAGGAAGGUGGUGGACUUAAUACGUUCAUCAAUUGACGUUACUCGCAGAAGAAGCACCGGCUAACUCCGUGCCAGCAGCCGCGGUAAUACGGAGGGUGCAAGCGUUAAUCGGAAUUACUGGGCGUAAAGCGCACGCAGGCGGUUUGUUAAGUCAGAUGUGAAAUCCCCGGGCUCAACCUGGGAACUGCAUUUGAAACUGGCAAGCUAGAGUCUCGUAGAGAGGGGUAGAAUUCCAGGUGUAGCGGUGAAAUGCGUAGAGAUCUGGAGGAAUACCGGUGGCGAAGGCGGCCCCCUGGACGAAGACUGACGCUCAGGUGCGAAAGCGUGGGGCAGCAAACAGGAUUAGAUACCCUGGUAGUCCACGCUGUAAAACGAUGUCGAUUUUGGAGGUUGUGCCCCUUGAGGCGUGGCUUCCGGAGCUAACGCGUUAAAUCGACCGCCUGGGGAGUACGGCC
RNAcentral lists this ribosomal RNA (544 nucleotides) under uncultured bacterium. RNAcentral describes it as "partial 16S ribosomal RNA". It matches the Rfam family "Bacterial small subunit ribosomal RNA", at positions 355 to 887 of the family's 1533-position model. The record is from RNAcentral.